UACGUAGGGUGCAAGCGUUAUCCGGAAUUAUUGGGCGUAAAGAGCUCGUAGGCGGUUUGUCGCGUCUGCUGUGAAAGACCGGGGCUCAACUCCGGUUCUGCAGUGGGUACGGGCAGACUAGAGUGCAGUAGGGGAGACUGGAAUUCCUGGUGUAGCGGUGAAAUGCGCAGAUAUCAGGAGGAACACCGAUGGCGAAGGCAGGUCUCUGGGCUGUAACUGACGCUGAGGAGCGAAAGCAUGGGGAGCGAACAGG
RNAcentral lists this ribosomal RNA (253 nucleotides) under uncultured bacterium. RNAcentral describes it as "partial 16S ribosomal RNA". It matches the Rfam family "Bacterial small subunit ribosomal RNA", at positions 524 to 776 of the family's 1533-position model. The record is from RNAcentral.